Molecule: long non-coding RNA, 236 nt
Filed under: Hordeum vulgare
Lineage: Eukaryota; Viridiplantae; Streptophyta; Magnoliopsida; Poales; Poaceae
Description: long non-coding RNA (HVUL_LNC004203)
Source: RNAcentral
GCAUCCUCAGGAACAAGGUGAGACUGGAGCCUUGACCUAUAGAUCAAACCCAGCACCUGGCGGGCCCGAGGUCCAGAGACGAGGGCUCGGUGCGGUCCUAUACCUCCUUUGCGUUGGCCUCGGGGAUAUGCUUCGCGUGGGUGUCCUGAGCCUGGGCCACCUCAUGAUGGGUGCCUCUAGUCGCCCGCGCUACACGACCUGCUCGGUUGACGCCCUCGCCAGCUCAGAUUCGUGAU